RNAcentral lists this ribosomal RNA (423 nucleotides) under Schistodesmus spinosus. RNAcentral's name for it is "partial 28S ribosomal RNA". The record is from RNAcentral. Lineage: Eukaryota; Metazoa; Mollusca; Bivalvia; Unionida; Unionidae.
UGGACCGCAUACGUCGACCCGGGGGAUUCAACCAGGCCGUUGGGCACGGGACGCGCGGGGGUUACGCUGAGCUGUAAAGCCAGUGCCUUCGCGUGGGUCUCCGGGCGGACUGGUGCACUUUCCUCGGGUCGAUUGCCACGACCGGCUCUCCGUGCGGCCAAAAGCCUGUCGCUGGGAAGGUGACCGACGGCCCCAGCGCCGGCGGUGUUAUAGCCCAGCUCGUUCGUUGCGCUCGUCGGAGGGCCGAGGAAGUGUUGCCGCCUCUCAUCACCCUCCGGCCAUCCUUGCUCGUCACGACUGGGGUGGACUGCUUCGUCAGUGCUCUCCCGACCGCGAGCGUAGGAAGGGUCGGUACGGUGCGAGAAGCUUCGGGCCAGUGGCGAAUCGGUCGGUCCUCCACCCGACCCGUCUUGAAACACGGAC